GCGAGCGUUAAUCGGAAGUUACUGGGCGUAAAGCGCAUGCAGGUGGUUUGUUAAGUUCAGAUGUGAAAGACCCGGGGACGUCGAACCUCGGAACUUAAGCAUUUGUAAACUAGGCAGACUAGAGUACUGUAGAGGGGGUAGGAAGUUUACAGGUGUAGCGGUGAAAUAGCGUAGAGAUCUGAAGGAAUACCGGUGGCGAAGGCGGCCCCCUCGGACAGAUACUGACACUCAGAUGCGAAAGCGUGGGGAGCAAACAGGAUUAGAUACCCCUGGUAG
This 276-nucleotide ribosomal RNA is filed under the name uncultured bacterium. RNAcentral's name for it is "partial 16S ribosomal RNA". It matches the Rfam family "Bacterial small subunit ribosomal RNA", at positions 534 to 793 of the family's 1533-position model. The record is from RNAcentral.